Molecule: small nuclear RNA, 107 nt
Organism: Meriones unguiculatus (Mongolian gerbil)
Lineage: Eukaryota; Metazoa; Chordata; Mammalia; Rodentia; Muridae
Source: Ensembl
AUGCUUGCUUAGGCAGCACAUGUACUAAAAUUGAAACAAUACAGAGAAGAUUAGCAUGACCUCUGCACAAGGAUGACAAGCAAAUUGGUGAAGCAUUCUGUAUUUUU